AUCAGAUCCAGACUUUUAAGUGCUCAUAAAAGUGUGAAAUCUGCAGCGACACUAACUCUUCAAAGGCAGAGGAAAACAAUUCACGUUUUUGUGGCCCUUGCAGUGAACUUUGCUGCCUUCUAGACUCACCUAGCUUCAGGGGAAAAGCGCUAACUUGGGUUUCAUCUCACAUUCAAAACUGGGUGAGCAUGAGAAAUACAACCCCAGGGCCAAGGUCGCCAAGAAAAGGGAUUAUGCUGGCCACGUAAACACUGGCCGCGGGCAGGGAGGUGCUGGCCCGUUAGUGCAAGGAAACUGUCUCCCAUUAAGGAAGGAAGCGAAGCCCUGCCCAAGGGGGACAGUAAACGCUUCCAUCCGACCGGGAGCAGGUGCCUGUGCUCAGUCAGGCGAGCUGCGUGUCUGCAGGAGGAGAACAAAGUCAGGAACGUUCUAAACACGCCAACCAUUCGCUCGCAAGGCAUUCGAUGGCCGUGUUUGGCCUGCGACCCUUCUCCUGCUGCCCCAGUGACCUGCUCCCCCGAGCUGCUGGCUUGGGUGCCCAGGGUCCCUCCCGUGUCUCCACCCGACAGUGCUCCAGGCCUUUCCUGCCCCUCGGUCCUGCGUCCAGAGCCUCCAUCACAGCCUGCGUGGACCCCAGGGCACAGACGGGCACGGGACUGCCCCGCAGCUUGACUGUUGCCCUUGGCGCCCGGGGACCCCUGGCAAGAGCACGGCCCAGAGGGAGGCUCCUCCCCCUGCUUGCGGAUCACUGCGCAGGGCAGGACGCCCGAGUGCCUGUAAGCAAGAGUGCAGACUACUGGCGUCACGGGGGUCGGUAGCGUAGAGCUUAGAAUUAAUGUGCAAAUUGGUUGAAAAGUGCCAUGUGCUCAGGCGUUGGACGCUCUAAGGAGGUGAUCAGAUCAACCGGGCAGGGAGGUCAGGGGGCCACGGGGCGGUGACGCCCAAUCUAACACUGAAACAAACUCAGGAACCUUUGCGUCGUGGCGCUGGGUCAAGGCUCCUGGUUCCAGAAGGUUCUGGCUGAGAGGGGCCCGUGGACGCAGGAACAGUGCAGCUGCUGAGAGGCUGCGCACAGGCUUCGUCGCUGGUUGGGCAGCCGCCUUCCAGCCCCUGGUGUUUUGGAUCGUGAUGUGACUUGAGCGAACGCGGAGCCCGCAGGGGACACAGGGAGGACUCGGGGUCCCUGCGGCUAGCCGGCCGCCCAUCUCGGGAACGUCACACUGCCUCCUGCUGGAGACACGGGGACCAGAGGUGCCCGCGCGUGUUUCCGGAGCUGAUUUACACCGAGAGUAAAGGACACGGAGGAAAGCUGCCCGUCUCAUACGAAUACGAAUUCAUUUCGGGUCACUGUACAUAAUCACUUCUUCUUGAGGCGUGUGAAGAAUUCAGCCAUUUUUCUUCACGGAUGAGCUGAUAGUUUUGGGGACAAGUGUGUUAAUUUGUGCUUCCUCCAGUCCAUUCCUCCCUAAAAGCUAAAGUCCUGAACACAGGUCUCUCAGGUUUUUCUAAAAUGUAAAUAAGCGUCUCCUGGAGAAAGAGAAAAAUCAUAGCCUGGAAAGUGUUCAGGGAAAAUACUUUGCUUUUCAGAAAAUGGUCUGCGAAGAAACUUGAGCUAAAUGGGAAAAUAUCCCUAAUUGUGCGGCUGUCCUCCCUCCAGGGUCGCAAAAUGCUGGGUGAUCUUUCGCAACGUUUGCUCUUCUGAGUUUGGUCAUCAGAAUCUAGGCUGUGCUCACGUGUCUCUGACUUGAAACUCUGCUUUACUAGGUAUUAAAAGACUUGAGAAACCUCUUUCUCAUCACCCUAUUCCUGUUUCCAUGACUACCUGUUUUUUAAAAAAGUACCAGUCUUUCUGAAGCUGUAUAGCGUUUUCAGUUGCACACCUAAGGAGCAAUUUUGACUUUUAUUUCAGGAGAUGGUUUGAAGCUUUAACCACUUUAAUAUUUGCCAGUAGAUUGAAAAAUUAUUAAUUCACUAAAGGCCUUAGAUUUAAUGUCCUCAGUCCUGAACUUAUGAUGUUAAAUGACCAUCAAAAGCGUGUCCUCCAUAAGCUGCGGGUGAAUUUCCGUGUGGCAGCCUCUCCCCUGUGGAGAGAUGGCAGCCUGUGACAGUUCCCAGGGAGCGAGGGAUUCGGAGAGUCAGGCGGCGGGGGGCAGCAUCUGCAGGCAACAGACAGAUACUUCCGAGACCCCGAGGGACGUGCAUCUGUGCUCAGGCUCCCUGAGCCAGACCUGGGGGCGGGGUGGUGGGGGAUGAGAUGCCAGGUCCCAUUAAGAGGCAGGAAUUCUGGGCUGGGCCCUCCCCUGCCGGGCUGGCGUGGAGGGUGGCGUCCACCAAGGGGCUGAGGGCGGAGGGGGGUGGGGAGGCAGAGCAGUGGCCGAGAUCCAGGAUAGGGAGGAACCGGGCCAGACGAGCAAGGCCAACCAGCCCGGCCUCAGAGGGGCUGCACGUCCUGGGUCUCCUUGACCUUGGCAGGACUCGGAGGUCAUGUUUUAUGCAGAGGAACCUCUUCCAUUCCUCCCGUGUCUCUGGAGCAGGCAAAUGUUUUCCCUCAGUGCUUGAGCGCAGCAUUCCUAUAUUCCUCCAAGUUUUACUGUAUUAACGGAUGUUUUGUGGUGUGUUUAUUUGAGUUUGCCCUGAUCUUGUAUUUCUCAUUAUUAAAGCAAAACGCAUUUCUUGUUUUUGUCUGAACCUUUGACCCCCUGGCCUCUGAUCCUGAGGCUUCCUGGACACGCUCCUGGUCCCCCUCUAUUUCAGAAGGAGAACAGCGUAAUUAAUUGAGUUUGAUGAGGAGGAUUACAGGAAAUCCUCCUCAUCAAAUGUCAUUUUUAAACUUGCUGGGUGCCCGAGGUGCCCUUCUGCUAGUGGGUCCCUGUUGGGGAGGUCACACUGGCGGCCAGUCCACAUCUGUACCCGGCAAACAGUGCAAGUGACACCUUCCCAACCUCGCUGUCCCAUCCCUUGUUGAGAGUUUUAUUAAUUUAGAAGAGAUGCACUCAGAUGGAGUUGGAGAUAAAGCAGGGAUGGACACACUCUUCUCAGAACUCUCUCAAGUGGUCACAGGUGAGGGAUGGGACAGUGCCCCCACAUCCAUCAGGCGGCCGGGCCUUUGUCCCCAGGAGCUGCCCGCACCCCGCUCACCCGCCUUCCGGGCUGCACCUGCUGAGAGCACUUCCUCUGACUGUGAACUAUUCAAGAUGCAACCAAAGCUUUCAGAAUCAGGUGAAUUCCUCCGUGACAUAGAUGGUAACCCACUGUCCUUGCAGUCAGAUCAAGGCUUAAAAAGGAUACAGUCUUGAGCAAGAUCACAGGACCAGCAGGAGCCCAGGUUCGCUCUCCAGCCUUGCAGGUUUGCAGCAAGAUCCAGGCAUCAGUUCUGUGUCCGAAGGCAGCUGCUGGUCUGCAAGAGGCUGGGACCACCCCGUCUCCCUGCCCUGCAGGGGCUCUGCCUCAUCCACAGGAGCCUCUCCAUCCUCUUCCCCAAGUCUGCAGCAACUCGGCUCUGCGUCCUGGAUGUGUGGGGACACUCCCGGCAGGAGCUGCCAUUGCUGUUGAAGUCCCUGUGACUGGCCAGGAUGCUUUGUAACAGCUGGUGUCCUCUUGGCCGCCUGGGAACCACCGGCCGUGUCUGAAUUGCUAAGCCUUUGCACCAGAGCAAACAGAAGCUUGCCCUGCUCCCCAAAAACAAACCUGAUGAUGGUGGCACCCGUUUUCAAAGCGUCUUUCAGGCCCAGAACUGCAGCUUUUGGGAAGCCCUGCUUGCCCGGGGCCGAGGGGUCGCGUCAGGAAGCCUGGUCUUGGGCUGGCCUCCGCGUUGUGUUGUCUGCACUUGAGCCAGACCUCUUUCAGUGGCCGCCCACCCUCUGACACAGUUGCAUGUGGACUUCAUUUGUUCUACGAAACGGUGGUGUUUCGAGCCAACGCUGUGAUCUUGUCCUCAGGCGCCUCCCCGUGUAGCCUUCACAGUGGAGGCCCCCGUCCGGGCCACAUCUUGGAAACACUGGGCUGCUCUCUAAUGGCCACAGAGGUUGCUCGUUUCUGAAAAUGUAAGACGUAACUGCCCGGGAAGGGACGUGAAGCUUCUACCAUGGGCUUUCUUAUCCUGUCGAGCUGCACAUUCCAUCUGGUACAAGUUAGGGUUUUGUGGCUAGUGCGCUAAAAACCUGUGAGUCCUGAAGCCCUAAAUGUUACUUACAAGUACCACUCCUGAAGGCCAGUGGGAGGAGGCCCUAGUGGAACCCUGCGGUCCCCAUCUGCAGUGGAGGGGGUCCUAGCGGAACCCCUGUGGUCCCCAGCCUCCAGGGCCUCAUCUUAGGAAGCAGGAAAUAGCUGAAGUUCACUUGCACAGCUCCUCGUGAUGUCAGUUUCUCAGCAGAGACUGCCAAAGCCCUUCCAACCUUAUCAAUGGAAUAAUCUUAUUUAACGUCAAUCAAACUCACCAUGCACUUCAGGGAGAGUCCAUUUUCUUGUCUAUCUUUUGAAGACAGAUUCUGUGCAGUGCACUUACACUGCAGACUGGAAGCAAAGGCGUAGAAUUUGCCUCCCGUCUUCUCUGGCAAAAACAUAUGCGUCUCGGGAAGUUUCCAGGAAUGCAAGUGUCCCUGGCUAACUGCUUUUUGUCUGCGAGGCCCCUUCUUGAUUUCCUCUGGUAAACAGCAUAAACAGGCCAUGCCUUCUCGUGUUGGGCCCAUAGUGGUGUCCCAACAGCUCCCCAGGAACUGGCGUUCCCUCGAGCACCCAAACCCACACGGCAAGAGGUUUUCCAACAGCACCCGCCUUGGGAUUCACCACUGAUUCAUUCAGCAAGUGUUUACUAAGCCCCAGUUCUGUGCAAGGCCGCGGAGGACAAGAGUGACUAAGAGUGGCGAGAUCUAUGCCUUCACGGACUUACAUUCCUGUAGAAUGAAAGCAGCCAUCAAGCAAAUAAGCUGAAAACUGCAGAGACUUUGCGCAGGGCAGUGUGAGGCUGGCCGGGUGCAGCGUCCCCCGUGGAGGCUGUGCUAAGACCUCAGUUCCCUCCCGGGCCACCGAGGCUAUUUAGUAAACAGCAAGGCUGCAGUGAUGGGAUGAUGGUACCUUGUAGGUUUUGGUCCCUCAGUUCACGCUGUCUCCUGCUUUCUCAGAGCCUGACUGAGGGAAGUGUUAACUCCUCUCUGGGGAUGGAGGCCUUCGGAGGAAGGGGAGGGCUGGAUCAGAGCCUGGGGUGGAAACAGGGGUCCCUGCCUGGUCUCUGAUGUCACAGCAGAGGGAGGAGAGCUCCCCCAGAGACCCAUCUUGACGGUGGGUGCGAGCCAUGCCCGCGCCUGGAGAUGCCAAGGGGACUCAGGAGCAGCUGGGGGCUCUGGGCUCCGAGCGCUAAGCCUGAUGCCCAGGCCUGUGCCAGGGUGGCCAGGUGGACAGAGGGAGCUGGGCUGCAGCCAGGAGUGUCCAGUGUGGCCCUUGCAGAGAGGGGCCCAGGCCCUCAUGGGGCUCAGCCUCCCUGCCCCCACCCCACUUCUGGAGCUGUCCCCCCAGGUGUCACCAGAAGCCACCAGCGUGGCGGACCCAGCGCCGCCCUCCCCUGCACCCACACUGCAGGCAGCACAGCGACUCUGGAGGACGCGUGGCUCUGCAGCCCAGGACGUGCCCCGACCGCACCUGCAGGCCUCCCUCUUCUGGGGCCGUGGGCACUGGCUCCCUGCACCUGCCGUGGGCGCGCCUUCCUCCGGGCCGCAUACCUGGCACUGGGGUGCAGGCCCUGGCCUGCUCCACAUCCUGCUCUGCCUGCCUGCGGGCGUCUCCUCCUGCAGUCACCCCGAGCCUCUUGCACCACCAGGGUUUCCUGCCCCACCUGGCGGUGAGGUGGGGGCGGCUCCACCCUCUGCCUUCCAUCCACACAGCCCACAGCAACCUCCCUUCGGCCGUCUGCUGCAUGUCAAUCCUUUGCUUACUGUGGUUUUUCAAGAAGCAAACUGAUGACGAUGCUGUGGGCUCCAACUGCACAACACCCUGGACGAGAGGGAGGGGGCGGGGGGAACAGGGGUCUGUGAUGGUGGGAAGGUACCUGGAGGGCAUGGCUGGUGGUCCUUCCCUGUCAGAACCAACACACAAGCUCUUUGUAAAAUCAAGUUCUCUUUGCUCCUGGACCUUAAACAUCGCGGUCGUGGUUUCCAGCCCUAAGGGACCACAGGGAUGGGUGUGUUCAGAGUGGGCCGGCUCAGGGAUGCUGAGAAACAAGGGACAGCAUGCCGCUCAGACUGCACAGGUGGGAGCUGGGCCAUCUGCUGAGGCUUCUGCCUCUCGGAGCGCCGCCCACCAUCCCACUGGCCCCCAGGGCUUGACUGCGGGGCCUCUGUGUUCGUGCU
RNAcentral lists this long non-coding RNA (6341 nucleotides) under Sus scrofa (pig). RNAcentral describes it as "lncRNA (ENSSSCG00005007300.1)". The record is from RNAcentral. Lineage: Eukaryota; Metazoa; Chordata; Mammalia; Artiodactyla; Suidae.